This 253-nucleotide ribosomal RNA is filed under the name uncultured bacterium. RNAcentral describes it as "partial 16S ribosomal RNA". It matches the Rfam family "Bacterial small subunit ribosomal RNA", at positions 524 to 776 of the family's 1533-position model. The record is from RNAcentral.
UACGAAGGGGGCUAGCGUUGCUCGGAAUCACUGGGCGUAAAGGGUGCGUAGGCGGAUUCUUAAGUCAGAGGUGAAAGCCUGGAGCUCAACUCCAGAACUGCCUUUGAUACUGGGGAUCUUGAGUUCGGGAGAGGUGAGCGGAAUUGCGAGUGUAGAGGUGAAAUUCGUAGAUAUUCGCAAGAACACCAGUGGCGAAGGCGGCUCACUGGCCCGAUACUGACGCUGAGGCACGAAAGCGUGGGUAGCAAACAGG